This 485-nucleotide ribosomal RNA is filed under the name uncultured bacterium. Its description in RNAcentral is "bacterial SSU rRNA". It matches the Rfam family "Bacterial small subunit ribosomal RNA", at positions 29 to 519 of the family's 1533-position model. The record is from RNAcentral.
AGCGAACGUUUGCGGCGGGCCUAACACAUGCAAGUCGAACGCACUAGCAAUAGUGAGUGGCGCACGGGUGCGUAACACGUGGGUAAUCAACCCUUCAGCCUGGGAUAACGACUCGAAAGGGUCGCUAAUACCGGAUACGGCGCGAGAGGCUUCGGCUUCUCACGAGAAAGCCACGCAAGGGGCACUGAAGGACGAGCCUGCGGCCCAUCAGCUAGUUGGUGAGGUAAGAGCUCACCAAGGCUAAGACGGGUAGCUGGUCUGAGAGGAUGAUCAGCCACACUGGAACUGAGACACGGUCCAGACUCCUACGGGAGGCAGCAGUGGGGAAUAUUGCGCAAUGGGCGAAAGCCUGACGCAGCCACGCCGCGUGAGCGAUGAAGGUCUUCGGAUCGUAAAGCUCUGUGGGGGGAGAAGAAGAAGCGGUCGAGAGCGGCCCGUCGACGGUAGUCCCUUACGCGAAGACACCGGCCGUAACUACCGUCGCC